This 140-nucleotide unclassified non-coding RNA is filed under the name uncultured Ascomycota. Its description in RNAcentral is "sequence contains ITS1". Lineage: Eukaryota; Fungi; Ascomycota. The record is from RNAcentral.
CCUAGAGUUGCGGGCUUUGCCUGCCAUCUCUUACCCAUGUCUUUUGAGUACCUUCGUUUCCUCGGCGGGUCCGCCCGCCGACUGGACAAAACUUAAACCCUUUGUAAUUGAAAUCAGCGUCUGAAAAAACUUAAUAGUUA